Spinacia oleracea (spinach) is the source of this 433-nucleotide long non-coding RNA. RefSeq lists it as uncharacterized. The transcript has 2 exons. The record is from RefSeq and is a predicted model, not a curated record. NCBI's taxonomy places the organism in Eukaryota, Viridiplantae, Streptophyta, Magnoliopsida, Caryophyllales, Amaranthaceae.
UGAAAAUUUCCAGUCCGCCCCGGUGACCCGGAAUAUAAUUUUAAAUUUAUACGGAAAUGGGAAAAUGUGACAAUUUAUCUCCCUGAUAAACAUAAACCCUCAAAACCCCCCAAACCUUGUGAUCUUCAGUAAAAAUGAAGAAGGUGUUGACGGAGAAGAAAUUCACGCUCGUCCACACCGUCGCAACCGCCGGCAUCUUCUCCGCCGUAUCCUUCUGGUAUGGGUUCAUGUUUGGAAGAGAAUCAUCUCGCAAGGAGCUUGGUGAUCUCAUCGACGACCUUCGCCGCUCCAAUUCCGAUUCCAAUCCUACUCCUCCUCCUCACACUUGAUUUUGUACUUUCUCUCUUCUCUUCCUAGUUCUUUUUUCUGUAAAACUGAAUUGAUUUCAGCUUUUCAGCUUCUAAUUAAUUGAGAAAUUGCUACUGAUUUUCAA